This 2712-nucleotide long non-coding RNA is filed under the name Danio rerio (zebrafish). RNAcentral describes it as "lncRNA si:dkey-82f1.1 (ENSDARG00000096850.3)". Lineage: Eukaryota; Metazoa; Chordata; Actinopteri; Cypriniformes; Danionidae. The record is from RNAcentral.
AUGCUUGCCCACAAGAGUCCCUCCAACCCUCGGCACAUCGAGAAUGGUCUGAGCAGCAAAUCUCCCAGGACUCCCUCUGGGCUUAAAAGCGUAGCAAGUAUUCGGGACAAGAUUUCCCAAUGGGAAGGUAAAACUGAGACCAUCGGCUCAAACACCCAAACAGUGGCACUGAAGGACGCUGAAGCUGGGAAGAAAACAGGACAGCCUGAAGUACAAAGGAAAGACAGCAAGAGACUUUUCAACUGGGAGAGACAAAACUGCGGCAAAGAGAAUGGGAGCAAGUUUGGAGAAUCCCUACACACUUCUGAGGGACCCGUGAAGGAAAAGGAACUGAUUUUGGACAAAUCCCCAUUAGGGAAAAUGACAGAAACUGGUCAGGAUAAAAAGUCAGUGUUGACGCACAUUAAAAAACUUGAGCAAGCCAUGAAAGAGACUCCUUCCAAAUCUUCAUUCUCAAUGCCAGGCAAUUAUUUCUGCCCUGCUUCCAAAGAGGAGCAGGAAGAGUCAGAAAGGAGGGGUGUAGAGCCAAUCUUUGGGAUUCUGGAUGUGGUGAGAUCCAGUGGCAGGCGAAGUCGGGAUCCUGAGAAUGUCUACAGCGAACCUGGAGCUCCUUCCAUCAACCCCUUGCCAAAACCACAAAGGACCUUUCAACAUCACACCCAAACAAACAACCCUACGGCCAACCACAGUUUUAUCAAGGGUAAACGGAAUCUUCCCCCUUUACCCUCAAUCCCUCCUCCCCCCCUACCCUCCUGUCCACCACCUGGAGUCUGUAGAAGGGCAACCGGAAGAGUUCGAGACUCCAUUAACAGGAAGUCUUACGAGUUUGAAGAUCUUCUACAGUCUGCAGCAGAAGGAUGUCGAACAGAUUUGUACGAGCUUUCUAAGCUUGGCCUCACACGCACUUUAUCAGAGGAGAAUGUCUACGAGGAUAUCUUAGGUAACACGAUUUUGGAGCAACGUUAUGUAAAAAUGCUCAUUUUAUUUUCAAGGUUACAGAAUUCAGAGCGACGCAGUUUUAACUUACUGGAGCUGCGCAGGACAGGCGGAAUCGCGUCCCCAUCACGGGUCAGCCCUCCAUCAACACCCAGCAGCCCAGACGACACCCCGUGCCUGUCUGGAGACCCGUACAACCGGCGGCGCAGGAAAAUUCCAAAGAUGGUGCAGAAAAUCAACGGCAUCUUUGAGGCGCGAAGGGGUAAAAAGCGGAUGAAAAGGGUCUCGCAGUCCACAGAGUCCAGUUCAGGAAGAGUGACGGAUGAAAACAGCGAGUCUGAAAGCGACACAGAGGAGAAACUGAAGGCUCACAGUCAGAGGUUAGUGUCGGUCCAGUCUAUGCUGAAGCAGACGGGUCGAUAUCGCACUUUGGAGAGGGAUUUAAUGGACCUUCAAGAGAGGAAGCUGUUUGAAUAUUUCCUGGUUGUGGCUCUUCAUAAGACCAAAGCCGGCGUGCCGUAUUUACCUGAAGUUACACAGCAGUUUCCUCUUAAGCUGGAGCGAAGCUUUAAGUUCAUGCGAGAAGCUGAAGACCAGCUGAAAGUGAUCCCGCAGUUCUGUUUCCCUGAUGCUAAAGACUGGGCACCUGUGGACAAUUUCCCCAGUGAGACAUUCUCAUUCGUCUUAACCGGAGAAGAUGGCAGUCGGAGAUUUGGGUAUUGUCGACGUUUAUUGCCCAGUGGUAAAGGAAGGCGUUUACCUGAGGUUUACUGCAUUGUCAGCAGACUGGGCUGUUUUGAUCUGUUCUCCAAGAUCCUGGAUGAAGUGGAGAAGAGACGGGCCAUUUCUCCAGCGCUGGUCCAGCCGUUUAUGAGAGGAAUCAUGGAGGCUCCGUUUCCAGCGCCGGGACGAACCAUCAGCAUCAAGAACUUCCUCCCGGGUUCAGGAACAGAGGUGAUAGAUUUGUGCCGGCCCUCAGAUUCCCGUCUGGAACAUGUGGAUUUCGAGUGUUUGUUUUCCUCUCUGAGCUUGCGUCUGCUUCUGCGGGUCUUUGCUUCUCUUCUGCUUGAGCGACGGGUCAUCUUUACCGCAGAUAAGCUCAGCACUCUCUCCCAGUGUUGUCAUGCUGUGGUGGCUCUGCUGUACCCAUUCACCUGGCAGCACACCUACAUCCCAGUUCUGCCUCCAGCAAUGAUGGACAUCGUCUGCACACCGACACCUUUCAUCGUGGGGCUUCUGUCCAGCUCACUGACCCGCCUGAAAGAGCUCCCGCUGGAGGAGGUCCUGGUGGUCGACCUCGGCAGCAGCCGUUUCCUGCGACAGAUGGAUGAUGAAGACUCGAUUCUGCCUCAUAAACUGCAGGCGGCGCUCGAACACGUGCUGGAACGGAGGAAAGAGUUCGCCUCUGACCUGGCAGAUAAUCCUAGCGGUGAGGAUUCUGUGGUGUCGGAGGCGUUCGUGCGUUUCUUCGUGGAGAUCGUGGGUCAUUACUCCCUCUUCAUGGGUGGCAGUGAUCGAGAUGAAGAAUCCUCACGCGAGGCGUUCCGUAAAGCCGUCUCCUCUAAAAGCCUGCGCAGGUUCCUGGAGGUCUUCAUGGAGACGCAGAUGUUCGCCGGGUUCCUGCAGGAGAGAGAGCUGCGGAGGCAGGGCCUGAAAGGUCUGUUUGAGAUGAGGGCUCAGGACUAUCUAGAUUCUCUGCCCGGCGGCGAGAAUAGAGGCGUCAACAAGUUCCUCAAAGGUUUAGGACACAAGAUGAAGUUUCUGUCCAAAAAGUGA